GGGACUUAAAGAUGCCCAACAAACUAUGACAGCUCUAAAGUCCGCAAAUAAGGAACUGAAAGGAAUGAUGAAAACUGUCAAGAUACAGGACAUAGAUAGCUUGCAAGAUGAAAUGAUGGAUCUCAUGGAUGUGAGCAGUGAAAUACAAGAGUCUCUGGGUAGGAGCUACAAUGUACCUGAUGAUAUUGAUGAGGAUGAGCUUUUGGGUGAGCUUGAUGCUCUUGAAGCAGAUAUGGGAGCAGAGACUGAGUCCGAUGCGGUUCCCUCAUAUCUUCAACCUGAUAAGGAAUCUGAUUUAGAUGCAGAACUCAACUUGCCUGCACCACCAUCAGGUCAUGGAGCAGUGCCACCCGGCAGAUACAAUGCCCAGGCGGAGGACGAACUGGGGUUACCGGCCGUGCCGCGAGCGUCUCUUCG
RNAcentral lists this unclassified non-coding RNA (417 nucleotides) under Hevea brasiliensis (rubber tree). The record is from RNAcentral. Lineage: Eukaryota; Viridiplantae; Streptophyta; Magnoliopsida; Malpighiales; Euphorbiaceae.